RNAcentral lists this long non-coding RNA (1129 nucleotides) under Monodelphis domestica (gray short-tailed opossum). RNAcentral describes it as "lncRNA (ENSMODG00000041504.1)". The record is from RNAcentral. Lineage: Eukaryota; Metazoa; Chordata; Mammalia; Didelphimorphia; Didelphidae.
AAAAACCAUUUACCAGUCUCAUUCUGUUUCCCAACAGUGCAUGGGCACUAGGGUGAAUGAAGUCAGCCCUUUAUAACUUUCCCAGCAUAAAUCACUCCCCAUUGUUGGCGAGAGGCUAUUUGCAAAGCUGCUUAAGAGCCAUAUACCCAUGACAUCAUUCCGAUGCCCUCCACACUGCACCAGGGGCUGCGUGAAAAGCCGGGCCAUCCUCAAAAGCAAGAGCUGCGAUUGCCACUCACUGCUGUGCUAACUGAGUCUGAAUGGUAUUAAAUGAGAUGGGAUCCGUCCAAGUCAGAGAGCCAAAACCCAAGCCACCUACCCAAGCAGGGCUGUUUCCUCUCUUGCUCCAUGAGCUGUGGAGCAGCUCCCAGUGUGGAGCUUCUGUUGAUUUCAAAGGCCAUUUUGGCCUUGAAUCAGCUCCCCCUGGGUCCCGAGCAAGCUGAGAAAUGGGGCCCCACAAGAAAAGCUGUCGGAAGCCAAGGUCAGCUGCUCCUGCUCCCCGUUCCCUCCGUGAAGGCUGACAAGGAAUGGGGCAGGCUAAAUGACGGAUCCAGCCUUUGGUGUGGGGGAGAUCUCCCUCUGGAGUAGCCAACUGUCUCUAAUUGUAUGUCAUCCCCAGAAAUAUGGCCUUGAGAAGGCAGGGAGCUCGGGCCAGCGGUGCGGUGCCGUGCCUGGGAGCCAGGGUUUCCUGGGCUCGGAAGCCCUUCUUCAAAGGGUUGGCGAGGCCAACUGGAGCCACAGACUGCUGGAUCUUCCUUCUGCCCCUGCAUCGAGCCAUCCGGGAAGGGCUGUGCCAUUUGUCACCGUGCCCUCAAUCGAGAGCACGGCGCGGUGAAUGGAAAGGCGGCGUCAGAAUCAGGAAGACCCGAGUGCGAGACACCUCUCUGACACAUAGUGGCUGUGUGAUGGGACCCUGGGAAAAUUCGUUAACCGUUCCUAGUCUCCUACGACUGUCUCCGAUUUUAAUCUGCAUCGAUAGAAAGGAUUUCUUUAAAGGAAGUUCCUAGUGUUAGUGAAAUUGGCCAGGGACUUUUGCCUUCUUUUAAAAAUCCCCAGCACUUAUCCCAGUGCCUGGUAUAUAUAAUAGGUGAUUAAUAAAUAUUUAUGGAUUAAUUGAUUAAAAAAAAGC